This 73-nucleotide transfer RNA is filed under the name Amana edulis. Its description in RNAcentral is "tRNA-Ile". Lineage: Eukaryota; Viridiplantae; Streptophyta; Magnoliopsida; Liliales; Liliaceae. The record is from RNAcentral. RNAcentral also lists the same sequence under 9 other names.
GGGCUAUUAGCUCAGUGGUAGAGCGCGCCCCUGAUAUGGGUGCGAUGAUUUACUUCACGGGCGAGGUCUCUGG